Molecule: ribosomal RNA, 253 nt
Filed under: uncultured bacterium
Lineage: Bacteria
Description: partial 16S ribosomal RNA
Rfam family: Bacterial small subunit ribosomal RNA
Source: RNAcentral
UACGGGGGGGGUAAGCGUUGUUCGGAAUUACUGGGCGUAAAGGGCUCGUAGGCGGCCAACUAAGUCGGACGUGAAAUCCCUCAGCUUAACUGGGGAACUGCGUCCGAUACUGGAUGGCUUGGAUUUGGGAGAGGGAUGCGGAAUUCCAGGUGUAGCGGUGAAAUGCGUAGAUAUCUGGAGGAACACCGGUGGCGAAGGCGGGUCUCUGGACAGUUCCUGACACUGAGGCACGAAGGCCAGGGGAGCAAACGGG